Mustela erminea (ermine) is the source of this 269-nucleotide long non-coding RNA. RefSeq lists it as uncharacterized. The transcript has 3 exons. The record is from RefSeq and is a predicted model, not a curated record. Lineage: Eukaryota; Metazoa; Chordata; Mammalia; Carnivora; Mustelidae.
GGGGGGACCCUACCCACCUCCUCAGGGGUACCCCUAUCAAGGAUACCCACAGUAUGGCUGGCAAGGCGGACCUCAGGAGCCUCCUAAAACCACAGGAGCUGAGCCCAAGCUGGCCACAGCGGGGCAUUUGAUCUCUAAGGAGGAGCUCCAUCAGAGGCGCACCUGAGGUGUAUGUGGUGGAAGACCAAAGACGGGAUGACCUGGGCCCAUCCACCUGCCUCACAGCCUGCUGGACUGCACUCUGUUGCUGCUGUCUCUGGGACAUGCUC